AUGUUAAGGCUGGGGCAUUUUCUGAAAAAAAAUUCUUGAACCUCUCCCAUGCCUCAGAAUAGCUCUCGAGAUCUUUUUGCUUGAAGGUGUGGAUGUCAUUCCUAAUUU
RNAcentral lists this small nucleolar RNA (108 nucleotides) under Olea europaea subsp. europaea. RNAcentral's name for it is "Plant small nucleolar RNA R71". It matches the Rfam family "Plant small nucleolar RNA R71". Rfam says of the family: R71 is a member of the C/D box family of snoRNAs containing the C (UGAUGA) and D (CUGA) box motifs. Multiple nearly identical copies of this snoRNA have been identified in Arabidopsis, and it is thought to function as a 2'-O-ribose methylation guide for 18S ribosomal RNA. The record is from Rfam by way of RNAcentral. Lineage: Eukaryota; Viridiplantae; Streptophyta; Magnoliopsida; Lamiales; Oleaceae.